Amphiprion ocellaris (clown anemonefish) is the source of this 920-nucleotide long non-coding RNA. RefSeq lists it as uncharacterized. The record is from RefSeq and is a predicted model, not a curated record. The transcript has 4 exons. NCBI's taxonomy places the organism in Eukaryota, Metazoa, Chordata, Actinopteri, Pomacentridae.
CAGGACACCUGUUCACAAUCACCUCCAGCUACUUUAAACCCAGUUCAUUCAGUCACUUCUUGCUGGACUAUAGACUCUGUUCCCCUCUUGGAUUCUGUUCUCCCGCCGAGCCCUGCUACCUCCUGACUGCUUCCAUGGACUCUUCUCUUCUCCCCUCAGUUUCCCACCAAUUCCUGUUUUUGUUUCCUGUCUGUCUAUCUUGCCCCUUUAGCUUAGCUUCCCUGGUUUCUGUCAGCGGAGGAUCAUCAUCGUGGCUGUGGGUUUAGCAGCACUCAUAACAACUGCUGUGGCCGUCAGCAUCUGGGCAAGAAGUAAAGGAAAAAACACACAGAUGAAUGAAAAUGCGGUGUGUAAUGAUGAAGAUGAUGGGCUUUGAUCCUUCGGCUUCUGUUCAACUCUAUUGAUCAACAUCAUCUUACCAUAUAUUUGGAGGAGUAGUUGGAUGUUUUAGAAGACUGAUUCAUUUCAGACCAGCUGAUUCAUUUUCUCUCUCUCCUCAGCAGUAUGUAUUUCCUCACUAGUCCCUCAGUAUAUACACGACUGAUCCACCAUCAGACUGGGUUUGUGCACUUUACCAGAACUUUCCAGCAUUCAGAGCCUGUUUGUUCUUUAUUUUUGACCUCAGCAUGUAAAUAAGGAACUUUGUUUUAUCCUCAUCUUUCUGCCUUCUGAGUGAACCUGAGUAUCAUCCAAGUGAUUUUCACCUGCCUGUCACUGUCGUGCAUUUAAAUCUAUUUUCUCUGAGGAGACCUUGUUCAAUUUGACUAUGUUUUCUGAUUUCUUUGUGUGCAAAGAGUGUUCUGUUCAUUGUGAAUGGUGGAUAUUUUACUCGGUGGGUGUCCUGCUUUUGCUGAUAAUGAAUAACUUUGUUCUCAUGGGUGCUUCAAUGUGUCUAAAUAAAGAAACGUGUGUUUGCUGUU